Molecule: long non-coding RNA, 152 nt
Organism: Perognathus longimembris pacificus (Pacific pocket mouse)
Lineage: Eukaryota; Metazoa; Chordata; Mammalia; Rodentia; Heteromyidae
Exons: 3
Source: RefSeq, a predicted model, not a curated record
UGUCAGAAUGUGGAAGAAAAAGGUACAAAGCAUGUUACAUGUUCAGAACACAAGAGAAUGCAUAAUUAGGUUUUUUAUCAGCAUUAACCUAUAACUGCUUUGCAGAAGGUAUUCUGUGUAUGUAUCAUAACAGCUGCUGUUAAUGAAAGCAA